Molecule: ribosomal RNA, 253 nt
Filed under: uncultured bacterium
Lineage: Bacteria
Description: partial 16S ribosomal RNA
Rfam family: Bacterial small subunit ribosomal RNA
Source: RNAcentral
UACGGAGGAUUCGAGCGUUAUCCGGAUUUAUUGGGUUUAAAGGGUGCGUAGGCGGACUGGUAAGUCAGCUGUGAAAGUUUACGGCUCAACCGUGAGAUUGCAGUUGAUACUGUUGGUCUUGAGUAUAGAUGAGGUGGGCGGAAUUUGGGGUGUAGCGGUGAAAUGCUUAGAUAUCACAAAGAACUCCAAUUGCGAAGGCAGCUCACUGGGGUUAGACUGACGCUGAUGCACGAAGGUGUGGGGAGCAAACAGG